Molecule: ribosomal RNA, 501 nt
Filed under: uncultured bacterium
Lineage: Bacteria
Description: partial 16S ribosomal RNA
Rfam family: Bacterial small subunit ribosomal RNA
Source: RNAcentral
AUUGAACGCUGGCGGCAGGCUUAACACAUGCAAGUCUAGCGGAGAUGAGGUGCUUGCACCUUAUCUUAGCGGCGGACGGGUGAGUAGUGCUUAGGAAUCUGCCUAUUAGUGGGGGACAACAUUCCGAAAGGAAUGCUAAUACCGCAUACGUCCUACGGGAGAAAGCAGGGGAUCUUCGGACCUUGCGCUAAUAGAUGAGCCUAAGUCGGAUUAGCUAGUUGGUGGGGUAAAGGCCUACCAAGGCGACGAUCUGUAGCGGGUCUGAGAGGAUGAUCCGCCACACUGGGACUGAGACACGGCCCAGACUCCUACGGGAGGCAGCAGUGGGGAAUAUUGGACAAUGGGGGGAACCCUGAUCCAGCCAUGCCGCGUGUGUGAAGAAGGCCUUAUGGUUGUAAAGCACUUUAAGCGAGUAGGAGGCUACUGAGACUAAUACUCUUGGAUAGUGGACGUUACUCGCAGAAUAAGCACCGGCUAACUCUGUGCCAGCCGCCGCCGUAA